RNAcentral lists this ribosomal RNA (497 nucleotides) under uncultured bacterium. RNAcentral describes it as "partial 16S ribosomal RNA". It matches the Rfam family "Bacterial small subunit ribosomal RNA", at positions 28 to 507 of the family's 1533-position model. The record is from RNAcentral.
GAUGAACGCUGGCGGCGUGCCUAAUACAUGCAAGUCGAGCGAACAGACGAGGAUCUUGCUCCUCUGACGUUAGCGACGGACGGGUGAGUAACACGUGGAUAACCUACCUAUAAGACUGGGAUAACUUCGGGAAACCGGAGCUAAUACCGGAUAAUAUAUUGAACCGCAUGGUUCAGUAGUGAAAGACGGUUUUGCUGUCGCUUAUAGAUGGAUCCGCGCCUCAUUAGCUAGUUGGUAAGGUAACGGCUUACCAAGGAAACGAUGCGUAGCCGACCUGAGAGGGUGAUCGGCCACACUGGAACUGAGACACGGUCCAGACUCCUACGGGAGGCAGCAGUAGGGACUCUUCCGCAAUGGGCGAAAGCCUGACGGAGCAACGCCGCGUGAGUGAUGAAGGUCUUCGGAUCGUAAAACUCUGUUAUUAGGGAAGAACAAAUGUGUAAGUAACUAUGCACGUCUUGACGGUACCUAAUCAGAAAGCCACGGCUAACUACGUG